UAAGAUAUAUAUGGGUGCAGUCUGCUACUCAGUGCCUCUGAAAUCAUACCAAUGAAAGGCAAAUCAAAUCAUAUGAGGUUAUGAAAAGAGAUUUCCUAGGAGUGUUUGAAUCAAGAAAAGUGGUAGACAAACUGGACCUCUCGGCAAGCCAUAUCUAACGGAUGCAACGCUUCUUUGAGCCUGUGUCUCAGCACUAAAAGUGAUACACUCUAGUGGUUGAGAAUCUCCACUUCAGAAGCUGAUGUCCAGAGUUAGCAAAUGGGCUCACUGCCUCCAGGAAAUCACUUGGCAUUUCUGUGCAUCACUAAGGAAUUGCUUGACUUCAAUGAUAAUGUCAGAAGUUGUCACUGGAGACAGGUCAGCUCACCAAAGCACCGAGACUUAAGACCACAUGAGGACACAGCAAGAAGGUGGCAUCUGCAAACCAGGAAGAGAGUGCACAAAAACCCAUCCCUGCUAGCCCCUUGAUCUUGGAAUCCUAACCCCAAGAACUGUGAAGAAAAUAAGGUCUAUUGUUUAAACUAUACACACUAUGGUAUUU
Molecule: long non-coding RNA, 541 nt
Organism: Suricata suricatta (meerkat)
Lineage: Eukaryota; Metazoa; Chordata; Mammalia; Carnivora; Herpestidae
Exons: 5
Source: RefSeq, a predicted model, not a curated record